AUGAAUUUUUACACUCACGUCAACUCCCUAUUGCAUUGUCUUGCUGCAGAGAAGUUCCGUUUACCAACAUUCCCCUAAUGUUUUUCUCUUCCUCCACCAUUAUUGCUCCAUUCUCGCAGUUGUAACUCCAUUUGUACACUCUUCCAUCGUUGUAACACCAUUUUCGAAGCCAACACUUGCUUUCUUCCAUUUUUGCCGCUGCAACUCCUCCUUGCCAAUACUCUUGUUCUUCCAUUUCCCUCACUAUGAAGAUGUCCCAUUUUCGUUGUUGUUGCAUUCCUUCUCCAUUACUUAUGUAUUUCCAUCUUUGUGAAAAGGUGUCAUUGACAACUAAUUGUAGUUUCUCUCAAGAAGAAUAUUGUUGUAUGGUUUUGCUCCUUGCAUACUCCCUCCCUGCAUUUCAAAUAAGUAAUGGAUUGGUUCAUCUCCUUGGUUUAUAGUAACAGCCACCGCAGCCACCACAGCCACAAGGAGGAUCGAAGAGACGCCAAGAAUGGCGAACC
Vigna unguiculata (cowpea) is the source of this 503-nucleotide long non-coding RNA. The record is from RefSeq and is a predicted model, not a curated record. Lineage: Eukaryota; Viridiplantae; Streptophyta; Magnoliopsida; Fabales; Fabaceae.